GAUGAACGCUAGCGGCAGGCUUAAUACAUGCAAGUCGUACGGGAUCCGAGGUAGCAAUACUUUGGUGAGAGUGGCGCACGGGUGCGUAACACGUAUGCAACCUACCUAUAACCGGGACACAACCUCGAGAAAUUGAGGCUAAUAUCCCAUAACACUGCGAGAUGGCAUCAUUUUGCAGUUAAAACUCCGGUGGUUAUAGAUGGGCAUGCGCGACAUUAGCUAGUUGGUGAGGUAACGGCCCACCAAGGCUACGAUGUCUAGGGGUUCUGAGAGGAUUAUCCCCCACACUGGUACUGAGACACGGACCAGACUCCUACGGGAGGCAGCAGUAAGGAAUAUUGGUCAAUGGGCGCAAGCCUGAACCAGCCAUGCCGCGUGAAGGAUGACGGCCCUAUGGGUUGUAAACUUCUUUUGUACGGGAAAAAACCUCUGGUCGAGAAUCAGAGCUGAUGGUACCGUAAGAAUAAGCAUCGGCUAACUCCGUG
RNAcentral lists this ribosomal RNA (485 nucleotides) under uncultured bacterium. RNAcentral describes it as "bacterial SSU rRNA". It matches the Rfam family "Bacterial small subunit ribosomal RNA", at positions 28 to 507 of the family's 1533-position model. The record is from RNAcentral. RNAcentral also lists the same sequence under 1 other name.